This 811-nucleotide non-coding RNA is filed under the name Koutabatermes spinifer. The record is from RNAcentral. Lineage: Eukaryota; Metazoa; Arthropoda; Insecta; Blattodea; Termitidae.
GUUAAGUUUUAUUCUUGCUUGUUCGUUCAAUUUUUGUUUGCUCUAUAUGUAAAUUUUUGUGUGUUUUGAUUUUAGUUCUAAAUGGGCUUUAAGAGUUUUUUAUUUUUUAUUCUCAUUAGUUGUUAUUGGUUGAUCAGGGUUUUCUGUAACUAGCAAUUCAUUUUAGUUUCGGUUAAAUUUUGUGCCAGCAACCGCGGUUAUACCUUGGAGGCGUUUGAAUGUGGUUGGCAUUAAUGUAGUUUUAUAUUUAAUUGUUGAUUUUGUUUUUGUUGUUUUUUUAGGUGAAAUUUUUAUUAUUUUUUUUAUCUGUUAGUUAUUUGGAGGCUAUGAAAUUCUUUUUAUAAACUAGGAUUAGAUACCCUAUUAUUUUUGAAUGUUAAUAUUUUUGUGCCUGAGUAGUAUUAGUUAUGUUCUUGAAACUUAAAGAAUUUGGCGGUAUCUUAUUCCAUCCAGAGGAAUCUGUCCCGUUAUCGAUAGUCCGCGUUGGACCUUACUUAAUUGCUUUGGUUUGUAUACCGCCGUUUAUUGAUUAUCUUUUUAGAGUUUUUUAAUUUUCUGGUUUCUUUAUUUUGAUUUAUUUCAGGUCAAGGUGCAGCUUGUUUUUAAGUGGAAUGAUGGAUUACAUUUUUAUUUGUUUUUGGAUUGUUAAUUUAGAUAUUGACAUGAAAUUGGAUUUGGUUGUAAUGUUUUGUAGAUUGUUUUCGUGAUAUUUGGUUCUGAGAUAUGUACACAUCGCCCGUCGCUCUCGUUUAUUUAUUAAUGAGAUAAGUCGUAACAAAGUGGUUGUACCGGAAGGUGCGGCUGGAUUGAU